This 71-nucleotide transfer RNA is filed under the name Candidatus Kaiserbacteria bacterium. Its description in RNAcentral is "tRNA-Ala". It matches the Rfam family "tRNA". From Rfam's summary of the family: Transfer RNA (tRNA) molecules are approximately 80 nucleotides in length. Their secondary structure includes four short double-helical elements and three loops (D, anti-codon, and T loops). Lineage: Bacteria; Candidatus Kaiseribacteriota. The record is from RNAcentral. RNAcentral also lists the same sequence under 2 other names.
GGGCCCAUAGUAAAGUGGUAUUACGCGUCCAUGGCAUGGACGAAGGCCGGGUCCGAUUCCCGGUGGGUCCA